Molecule: unclassified non-coding RNA, 206 nt
Filed under: fungal sp.
Lineage: Eukaryota; Fungi
Description: partial internal transcribed spacer region
Rfam family: Eukaryotic small subunit ribosomal RNA (bases 1-46)
Source: RNAcentral
AAGUCGUAACAAGGUCUCCGUAGGUGAACCUGCGGAGGGAUCAUUACAAGCAUUAUUGCUCAACCCUGUCUACUCUCUUGUUGCUUAGGAGGCGCCCCUCGGGAGGGGAUUUGCUUCGGCCGCCUCCGAAAGCACCCAAAUUAUCGUCUGUGGAAUUCUGAAGCAUAUAAAACAUUAAAACCUCAACAACGGAUCUCUUGGUUACA